UACUAGAGGCACCGCCUGCCCAGUGACACACGUUCAACGGCCGCGGUACCCUGACCGUGCAAAGGUAGCAUAAUCACUUGUUCUCUAAUUAAGGACCCGUAUGAAUGGCUAAACGAGGUUUCUACUGUCUCCUAUUCCCUAUCAGUAAAAUUGACCUUCCCGUGAAGAGGCGGGAAUAAUCAUAUAAGACGAGAAGACCCUGUGGAGCUUAAAUUAACUAGAUCAGCAAUAUCAACAUACCCGUCAACAGACAUAAACAAAAUGACAUGAACUAUUAAUUUUGGUUGGGGUGACCUCGGAGCACAGCAAACCUCCGAAUGACAGCGCCAAGACCAACCGGUCAAAGCCCAUAUCGAAACCAAUUGACCCAAAAAUUGACCAACGGAACCAGUUACCCCAGGGAUAACAGCGCAAUCCUAUUCCAGAGCCCAUAUCAACAAUAGGGUUUACGACCUCGAUGUUGGAUCAGGACAC
RNAcentral lists this ribosomal RNA (474 nucleotides) under Dasypus novemcinctus (nine-banded armadillo). RNAcentral's name for it is "partial 16S ribosomal RNA". It matches the Rfam family "Bacterial large subunit ribosomal RNA", at positions 1844 to 2545 of the family's 2925-position model. Lineage: Eukaryota; Metazoa; Chordata; Mammalia; Cingulata; Dasypodidae. The record is from RNAcentral.